ACUUUUCUAGUAUAGCACAGUAUAAGUGACUUCCACUCACUAGGCCCUAAUUAAACCAGGGAAAAGUA
Molecule: transfer RNA, 68 nt
Filed under: Bipes biporus
Lineage: Eukaryota; Metazoa; Chordata; Lepidosauria; Squamata; Bipedidae
Description: tRNA-Gly
Source: RNAcentral